GCCCUCUUAGCACAGAAGGCAGCCCUUCAGUCUCAUAAUCUGAAGGUCUUGAGUUCGAACCUCAGAGAGGGUA
Bos taurus (domestic cattle) is the source of this 73-nucleotide non-coding RNA. Lineage: Eukaryota; Metazoa; Chordata; Mammalia; Artiodactyla; Bovidae. The record is from Rfam.